Molecule: ribosomal RNA, 485 nt
Filed under: uncultured bacterium
Lineage: Bacteria
Description: partial 16S ribosomal RNA
Rfam family: Bacterial small subunit ribosomal RNA
Source: RNAcentral
AGUGAACGCUGGCGGCAGGCCUAACACAUGCAAGUCGAGCGGCAGCGCGGGGGCAACCCUGGCGGCGAGCGGCGGACGGGUGAGGAAUUCGUCGGAAUCUGCCUUUUUGUGGGGGAUAACGUAGGGAAACUUACGCUAAUACCGCAUACGUCCUACGGGAGAAAGUGGGGGACCGCAAGGCCUCACGCAGAAAGAUGAGCCGACGACCGAUUAGCUAGUUGGUGGGGUAAAGGCCCACCAAGGCGACGAUCGGUAGCUGGUCUGAGAGGAUGAUCAGCCACACUGGGACUGAGACACGGCCCAGACUCCUACGGGAGGCAGCAGUGGGGAAUAUUGGACAAUAGGCGCAAGCCUGAUCCAGCCAUGCCGCGUGUGUGAAGAAGGCCUUCGGGUUGUAAAGCACUUUUGUCCGGAAAGAAAUCCCUGGAGCUAAUACCUUCGGGGGAUGACGGUACCGGAAGAAUAAGCACCGGCUAACUUCGUGC